Molecule: ribosomal RNA, 254 nt
Filed under: uncultured bacterium
Lineage: Bacteria
Description: partial 16S ribosomal RNA
Rfam family: Bacterial small subunit ribosomal RNA
Source: RNAcentral
UACGGGGGGAGCAAGCGUUGUUCGGAUUUACUGGGCGUAAAGGGCGCGUAGGCGGUCAGCACAAGUCAGUUGUGAAAUCUCCGGGCUUAACUCGGAAAGGUCAACUGAUACUGUGCGACUAGAGUGCGGAAGGGGCAACUGGAAUUCUCGGUGUAGCGGUGAAAUGCGUAGAUAUCGAGAGGAACACCUGCGGCGAAGGCGGGUUGCUGGGCUGAUACUGACGCUGAGGCGCGAAAGCUAGGGGAGCGAACGGG